This 440-nucleotide ribosomal RNA is filed under the name uncultured bacterium. Its description in RNAcentral is "partial 16S ribosomal RNA". It matches the Rfam family "Bacterial small subunit ribosomal RNA", at positions 338 to 795 of the family's 1533-position model. The record is from RNAcentral.
CCUACGGGAGGCAGCAGUGGGGAAUAUUGCUCAAUGGGGGAAACCCUGAAGCAGCGACGCCGCGUGGGGGAUGAAGGUUUUAGGGAUGUAAAACCCUUUUGUGAGGGAAGAAAAUGACGGUAUCUGACGAAUAAGCCCCGGCUAACUCCGUGCCAGCAGCCGCGGUAAUACGGAGGGUGCAAGCGUUAGUCGGAAUCACUGGGCGUAAAGGGUGCGCAGGCGGGCUUGUAAGUCAGAUGUGAAAUCCUGUGGCUUAACUACAGAACUGCAUUGGAAACUGUGUGUCUAGAGUGGGGGAGAGGUAGGUGGAAUUCGUGGUGUAGCGGUGAAAUGCGUAGAUAUCAAGAGGAAUACUGAUGGCGAAGGCGGCCUACUGGAACAUUACUGACGCUGAGGCACGAAGGCGUGGGUAGCAAACAGGAUUAGAUACCCUGGUAGUC